GCUACGGGAGGCUGCAGUGAGGAAUAUUGGUCAAUGGGCGCGAGCCUGAACCAGCCAAGUCGCGUGAGGGAAGACGGUCCUAUGGAUUGUAAACCUCUUUUGUAGGGGAGCAAAAGACGCCACGCGUGGCGUUCCGAGAGUACCCGAAGAAAAAGCAGCGGCUAACACCGUGUCAGCAGCCGCGGUAAUACGGAGGAUGCGAGUGUUAUCCGGAUUUAUUGGGUUUAAAGGGUGCGUAGGCGGUCGGAUAAGUUAGAGGUGAAAUCCCGAGGCUCAACUUCGGAAUUGACUCGGAUACUGUGCAGCUAGAGAGUAGUUGCGGUAGGCGGAAUGUAUGGUGUAGCGGUGAAAUGCUUAGAGAUCAUACAGAACACCGAUUGCGAAGGCAGCUUACCAGGCUACUUCUGACGUUGAGGCACGAAAGCGUGGGGAGCAAACAGGAUUAGAUACCCUAGUAGUC
This 460-nucleotide ribosomal RNA is filed under the name uncultured bacterium. RNAcentral describes it as "partial 16S ribosomal RNA". It matches the Rfam family "Bacterial small subunit ribosomal RNA", at positions 338 to 795 of the family's 1533-position model. The record is from RNAcentral.